AGUCGAACGAUGAUGCCCAGCUUGCUGGGUGGAUUAGUGGCGAACGGGUGAGUAACACGUGAGUAACCUGCCCCUGACUCUGGGAUAAGCGUUGGAAACGACGUCUAAUACUGGAUAUGACCGCCGAUCGCAUGGUCUGGUGGUGGAAAGAUUUUUUGGUUGGGGAUGGACUCGCGGCCUAUCAGCUUGUUGGUGAGGUAAUGGCUCACCAAGGCGACGACGGGUAGCCGGCCUGAGAGGGUGACCGGCCACACUGGGACUGAGACACGGCCCAGACUCCUACGGGAGGCAGCAGUGGGGAAUAUUGCACAAUGGGCGAAAGCCUGAUGCAGCAACGCCGCGUGAGGGAUGACGGCCUUCGGGUUGUAAACCUCUUUUAGUAGGGAAGAAGCGAAGUGACGGUACCUGCAGAAAAAGCACCGGCUAACUACGUGCCAGCAGCCGCGGUAAUACGUAGGGUGCAAGCGUUGUCCGGAAUUAUUGGGCGUAAAGAGCUCGUAGGCGGUUUGUCGCGUCUGCUGUGAAAUCCCGAGGCUCAACCUCGGGCUUGCAGUGGGUACGGGCAGACUAGAGUGCGGUAGGGGAGAUUGGAAUUCCUGGUGUAGCGGUGGAAUGCGCAGAUAUCAGGAGGAACACCGAUGGCGAAGGCAGAUCUCUGGGCCGUAACUGACGCUGAGGAGCGAAAGCGUGGGGAGCGAACAGGAUUAGAUACCCUGGUAGUCCACGCCGUAAACGUUGGGCGCUAGAUGUAGGGACCUUUCCACGGUUUCUGUGUCGUAGCUAACGCAUUAAGCGCCCCGCCUGGGGAGUACGGCCGCAAGGCUAAAACUCAAAGGAAUUGACGGGGGCCCGCACAAGCGGCGGAGCAUGCGGAUUAAUUCGAUGCAACGCGAAGAACCUUACCAAGGCUUGACAUACACCGGAAACGGCCAGAGAUGGUUGCCCCCUUGUGGUCGGUGUACAGGUGGUGCAUGGUUGUCGUCAGCUCGUGUCGUGAGAUGUUGGGUUAAGUCCCGCAACGAGCGCAACCCUCGUUCUAUGUUGCCAGCGCGUUAUGGCGGGGACUCAUAGGAGACUGCCGGGGUCAACUCGGAGGAAGGUGGGGAUGACGUCAAAUCAUCAUGCCCCUUAUGUCUUGGGCUUCACGCAUGCUACAAUGGCCGGUACAAAGGGCUGCGAUACCGUAAGGUGGAGCGAAUCCCAAAAAGCCGGUCUCAGUUCGGAUUGAGGUCUGCAACUCGACCUCAUGAAGUCGGAGUCGCUAGUAAUCGCAGAUCAGCAACGCUGCGGUGAAUACGUUCCCGGGCCUUGUACACACCGCCCGUCAAGUCAUGAAAGUCGGUAACACCCGAAGCCGGUGGCCUAACCC
RNAcentral lists this ribosomal RNA (1369 nucleotides) under Curtobacterium citreum. RNAcentral describes it as "16S ribosomal RNA". It matches the Rfam family "Bacterial small subunit ribosomal RNA". Lineage: Bacteria; Bacillati; Actinomycetota; Actinomycetes; Micrococcales; Microbacteriaceae. The record is from RNAcentral.